Molecule: ribosomal RNA, 253 nt
Filed under: uncultured bacterium
Lineage: Bacteria
Description: partial 16S ribosomal RNA
Rfam family: Bacterial small subunit ribosomal RNA
Source: RNAcentral
UACGUAGGGUGCAAGCGUUAAUCGGAAUUACUGGGCGUAAAGCGUGCGCAGGCGGUUCGUUGUGUCGGUGGUGAAAUCCCCGGGCUUAACCUGGGAAUGGCCAUGGAAACUGGCGAACUGGAGUGCGGCAGAGGGGGGUGGAAUUCCGCGUGUAGCAGUGAAAUGCGUAGAGAUGCGGAGGAACACCGAUGGCGAAGGCAGCCCCCUGGGCUAGCACUGACGCUCAGGCACGAAAGCGUGGGGAGCAAACAGG